GGAGUACGGUCGCAAGAUUAAAACUCAAAUGAAUUGACGGGGGCCCGCACAAGCGGUGGAGCAUGUGGUUUAAUUCGAUGCAACGCGAAGAACCUUACCUACUCUUGACAUCCAGAGAACUUUCCAGGGAUGGAUUGGUGCCUUCGGGAACUCUGAGACAGGUGCUGCAUGGCUGUCGUCAGCUCGUGUUGUGAAAUGUUGGGUUAAGUCCCGCAACGAGCGCAACCCUUAUCCUUGUUUGCCAGCGAGUAAUG
Molecule: ribosomal RNA, 254 nt
Filed under: Vibrio parahaemolyticus
Lineage: Bacteria; Pseudomonadati; Pseudomonadota; Gammaproteobacteria; Vibrionales; Vibrionaceae
Description: partial 16S ribosomal RNA
Rfam family: Bacterial small subunit ribosomal RNA
Source: RNAcentral